AGAAUGAUUGGUACAUUUUGACCAGCAGCACCAGCUUCACCUGAACACUUGUUAGAAGCACCAUUUCUGAGGUUUUACCCUCACCUUCUGAAUCAGAAACUCUCCAGCCUCAGGAAACCAUAAUUCUACUUUGUCUCUCUGAUUUUGACUACUCUAAAUACCUAAUUAGACAGCUCAAAGAUUGGAUCUAUGUUUGCAUCAUUUGCUGUGUGUAAACUCAGGAAAGUAUGGAUUUUCAUUACUUUAUUAGUAAGAAAUUUGCCUGCAGUCAACAGGAUGAGCUGUUCGACAGUUGCCUUGAUGGGUCACUCAUAAUAAUUACUUAGUGCUUGACAGUUACUAAAUAUUAUAGAGUCUAUUUAUUUUUAAUUAUUAUCAGGAAUGAGGUUAAUUGGCUUCGAAAUCACAAUAUUUUUAGGCUACAGAGUGGUGUGCAGGCAUUGUCAAAGUAACCAGAAUUUUACUAUCGUGUUAAAAGCAAAAGGUUCAGCUGGGUGCGGUGGCUAACACCUGUAAUCCCAGCACUUUGGUAGGCCAGGGCAAGUGGAUCACCUGAGGUCGGGUGUUCGAGACCAGCCUGGCCAACAUGGUGAAACCUCAUCUCUACAAAAAUACGAAAAAAAAAAUCAGCCGGGCAUGAUGGUGGAUGCCUGUAAUCCCAGCUACUCAGGAGGCUGAGGCAGGAGAAUUGACUGAACCCGGGAGUCGGAGGUUGGAGUGAGCUGAGAUCACGCCAUUGUACUCCAGCCUGGGCGACAGAGUGAGACUGGAUAAAUACCAUGAAGUUAUUUCAAAUCUACUUCCCUUGGGCAUUUUGAACUAAGCCAUGUUACGUUGUUAAGGUGCAUCAUGUCUAUGAGUCUAAUGAUCAAAUUCAGAGGUCAGCAACUUUUUCUGUGAAAACCAAAUCAUGACUACCUUAGGCUUUGAAGGUCAUAGAAUCUCUGAUUUUUGGUAUUUCUGUGGAGAGACAACCUCUUGGAGCUAUUUAUUCUGCUGUUUUUGCAGAAAUCAUCCAGUGGACAAGGUCCAAUUUUGAGUCACAUGGGCUCAGAGGAGAACCCCUAGAUGAUGGCUAACAAAGCAGUCCACAUCAAGCUCUUCUGCUGCAUACCAAUGAUUUUCUCCACAUAUACCAACCGAUAUGACAUGCCACAACUGAUUGAAUGAAGAAGCAGAUAGAAGAAUCUUGCUGUCUUCUAUUAAGCCAGCUAAAACAGAGAUUUUCAAAAAAUGUUUGAUCAAGGUAUUAUCUUCAAAUGUCACUUUCAUGGAAUGAUGUGGAGGUCCACAGGCCUGGAUCACAGGCUCUGCCAGUGGCUGUGAUGUUACCUGCUGUGGUCUUUCUCUCUUGCUUCAGAUGACAUCUAUGACACUGAUCCAUUCCAGCAAGCAUUUUAUUCUGGCACUCUUGAUAGCACAGAUAGAGGAGACUCAAAAGACUGACAGAAUACCCCAGGGUCUCUCUCCAGUAUAAAUGCUUCUAUGGUAACUGUCACACACAUCCAUGUGAAGAGACCACCAAACAGGCUAAUCAAGGCUUUCACUUCCACCAUGACAGCAUGAGGAGCUCCAUGGACAUACUUCCCAGUGAAACUAGUAGAAAUUAAAAAUAACAAAACAACAAAAACAAACAUUUUAAAGUCUCUGGAAAUGGUCUUAUGUGCCUGCAGCAAAUGAAGAAACAUCCAUACAAGAAAAUCAGCUAAAACUUGAUAGCACAGGAUUCUUUUUAGUUUUAGAAGUCUUUCAAAAUAAGAAGUCAAAUGAGGUAAGUAAGAUAUCCCAAAUAAUCUAUUAGAUAUAAUGACAAGCAUUGCACCUUGUCAACAAGCAAGUUAAGAAGACAUGAGCAAAGUUCUGGAAUUUCUUGAGAGAAAAAUUAAAAGUUCAAUAUCUGUACUGAAAAUAACCCCCACAUGAGAGUUUCAGGCAAACUUCUUAGCUUGAAAUUAACAUUUAUAAUAAGGAUCAGAAUAACAGUGGUUUGGGUUUUAAUGUUUCAAUCUAGAAAGAUUUGGCUGGGUGUGGUGGCUCAUGCCUAUAAUCCCAGCAUUUUGGGAGGUCGAGGCAGGAGAAUCACUUAGGUCAGGAGUUCAAGACCAGCCUGGCCAAUGUGGUGAAACCCCGUCUCUACUAAAAAUACAAAACAAGCUGGGCAUCACCAUGCCUGCAGUCCCAGCUACUUGGGGGGCUGAGGCACCAGAAUCACUUGAACCCAAGAGGUGGAGGUUGUAGUGAGCCAAGAUCAUGCCACUACACUCCAGCCUGGGUGACAGAGUGAGACUCUGUCUA
Pan troglodytes (chimpanzee) is the source of this 2295-nucleotide long non-coding RNA. RefSeq lists it as uncharacterized. The record is from RefSeq and is a predicted model, not a curated record. Lineage: Eukaryota; Metazoa; Chordata; Mammalia; Primates; Hominidae. The transcript is spliced from 9 exons.